Long non-coding RNA from Cyanistes caeruleus (blue tit), 1237 nucleotides. RefSeq lists it as uncharacterized. Lineage: Eukaryota; Metazoa; Chordata; Aves; Passeriformes; Paridae. The record is from RefSeq and is a predicted model, not a curated record.
CCAGCAGGGCCGGGCCGCGGCAUUUUCCAGCCUGGAGGGGCUGAUAAGAGACUGAGCUGAGCUGCCCCCAGACAAGAACUUCUGAAUUUGCCACCUCUUCAGAACAGAGAGAGGUUCCAUUGUUUAAUAUGAUUGAUUUUCCAAGUUUUGUUCAGGAGGCACCUGGAAGAAGCCAAAGUGUCUGAGCUGCCUUCUGCCUGUCCAGGACCAGCCAAACCCUUUGGGGGAGUUUUCCAGCCCAGGAUCAGCUCUGGAAGGAGGAAUGGGAGGACACCAUCUCCUCCCUGGUCCCUUCUCCCCUCAAUGUCACUCACCCCUAAUUCUUAAAUAAUUAAUGUGUGGUGCCUUGCCACACCCCAGAUUUUCCUGCUGGGAAGCCGCUGCCAGUGGCCUCAGGGAGGAGCUGGACUGGCACAAUCCAGAGCUUGUGGGAUGCACAGAAGGACCUUGGAUUUAUCCUUCUGGAGGUCAGAGGUUCCCAUCCCACAGAAUUCACCCCUCACUGGAACUCUGGGCCCUGCUGCUCUGCCCUCCUUGGUGGGAUAUUCCCUGUCCCCCCACCCCAGGCUCUCGGGAAGGCACAGCUGGACCCUGGCACACCCCAGGAGGUGGUUUGGCUGCUCCACCACCCACUCCAUGCAGUGUUUAUGUGCAUUAGGAAGGUUUCCAGCCCUAUGGAGCUGAGCUGAUCUUAAAAAGAAGUUCUUGGAAUGAAGGGCUCUGCCUCCUGCUGGUGCCGGGCUCUGGAGGGCAGCACCAGAUUUUGAGGUGGUUUUGCUUCUCAGGUGAGGACUAAGAAUUCCUGUCAGAGCAGCAGGAGAUGGGAAUGGAGUGAGCAGGCAGGAAAUCAGGGGUAGCAAGAUCCCCAUGGCACCUUCAUUAGGCUGCUGCUCCCCUCCUGGAGAAUCCAGAGGAGGCCAGAUGUUCCCAGCUGCACCUAAAACAGCAGGGACCGAGCACCCAGCUGGUGUUUGGGGUCUGCCCAUGCACUGGGGCUGCCUGGCUGUGUCCAUAAGGUCCCCACAGGAUGGGCUUCAGAGAAGGGUGUCCUUGCCAAGAUGACCUGAGGGUUUGUUUGUGCUGCUCCUGAGCCACACAAAUCCUCAGUCUGUGUGUCCGUCUGCAUCCUGCUGGGAUCCUGCCCCGUGUGACAAUGACUCCUUCCCUGUCACCUGCCCAUGAAAAGUGUGGAUGAACACAAAAAUCCUUCUGCAUUUAAGAAGUCCUGGAGAACAGA